Molecule: ribosomal RNA, 495 nt
Filed under: uncultured Erysipelotrichaceae bacterium
Lineage: Bacteria; Bacillati; Bacillota; Erysipelotrichia; Erysipelotrichales; Erysipelotrichaceae
Description: partial 16S ribosomal RNA
Source: RNAcentral
CACGUAGUUAGCCGUGACUUUCUGGCGGGGCACCAUCAGUCAGCACCCAUUUCCUGAUGCUGCCUUUUUUCCCCCGCAACAGAGCUUUACGACCCGAAGGCCUUCUUCACUCACGCGGCAUCGCUCGUUCAGGCUUGCGCCCAUUGACGAAAAUUCCCUACUGCUGCCUCCGCAGGAGUCUGGGCCGUGUCUCAGUCCCAAUGUGGCCGUCCGCCCUCUCAGGCCGGCUAUGCAUCAUCGUCUUGGUGGGCCUUUACCCCGCCAACCAACUAAUGCACCGCAGGUCCAUCCGCGCCCCAUCCCCUAAAGGAUGUUUCACAGAAAGAAGAUGCCUCCUUCCUGUACAUCGGGAUUUGUUCUCCGUUUCCAGAGCGUAUUCCCGGUGCACGGGCAGGUUCCCUAAGUGUUACUCGACCCCGUUCGCCACUACGAGACCCGGAAGGUCUCUCGUUCGACUUGACCUAUGUAUUACGGCAUCGCCGACCAGGCGUUUCA